This 1909-nucleotide long non-coding RNA is filed under the name Homo sapiens (human). Its description in RNAcentral is "HSALNT0066019". The record is from RNAcentral. Lineage: Eukaryota; Metazoa; Chordata; Mammalia; Primates; Hominidae.
CAAGCUCUUCUCAGUUCAGUGCCAUAUGCAUUUUUUAAGCACCUGCAACCUUGGGCCCCUCAUAGAGCCAUGUGCUAUGGGGCAUGCGGAAGUGAAUCCAAACUGUUCCACCCACCAAGAUGCUGAGUCUUGGAUAGGAGACAGCAUAUAUGGAGUUAGCUUUGACUGGAGCCAGAGAGUGGCCCUGGGCAGGAGUUGGCACAUUUUCCUCUGUGCACAGAUCUUCCCCGUGCCAGGCUUACAAAAGGAAGUUUCCGGAGCUGAGCAGCUUUUCAGGAGCUCCAUGGCCAGUUCACCUCCCCAUUCUGACACCUAACGCCGUGAGGCUCCGUCCUUGAAGAGAUGUAACAUGUUCUGGAGAAGAUGUCAAGGGUCACUUCGAAGUGUGCACAGAUUCUGCUCACAAUCUCGAGACACAGCAAACUCUCCCCACCCGAGAAGAGGAUGGGAUGAGGCACACUGAAGAGGAAAGAAAACUGAUCCUGUAGCCACAGAAAAACAGGACUGAGACCAGGAAGGGCAAGUCGUGUGUGUCAGCAUUGUGGACCUUUAUAUAAAUAAUAAUUUUCCAGUGGGAACUGUGAUCUCUUCUUGUCUCUUCUAUUUUUAAAUGCUAAUUACUUCUGAUUUUGUUUACGUAGGCGGAGCUAAUAAGAACAUUUGCUUCAUAACCAUUGAACCUAAUGUAUCUGUUUUUGGACACUGGUGAUUUAUUUUUGCACACAUGCUCCAAAUUGGUGCUAAUUACUUUAAAGGAUCAGAGUUUCUAUUCCAAGAGGGAUGACGACAGAAUGUCAAUUUGGAGUCUCUGAGCAUAAUGUCCCAAUUAUCAAUGCAUUCCAGACCAGAAUGGACUUGGCACCUUCUUGAAGGGAUUUGGCUUCACUUUUAUCAGCCAGUCCCUGGUUGUAGCUUCAUUAAAACUUGCUUUCUAGUAACUUGUGGAUGUGCCUAUACUUUUCUCUGUCUCAAAGACCCUUCAGUGUCAUAUCAGUAUCCUGAAUACCUACCUUUUCAUUUCCAGAUCAAAUACUUCUCCCUCUGAGCCUUUUUUGAUCUCUUUGGCCCAAGAUAAUUUUAAUUCCUAAGAUUUUCUGAUUCCUUUCUUAAAGAGGUUAGCACUUUCUACAUUGUAUUGUAAUCAUUUGCUGUUACAUUCUUACCUCCUUUCUAACAGAUAAGCCCCUUAGUGACAAUACCUUAUCUGAAUUAUCUUUGUCCCCACUGCACACUGAAACUUCUCCUGGUGCCCUGUACAUAAUAAGUGCUUUACACAUUGAUUUAAUUGCGGUUUGUUUAUAAUAUCCUACAUGCUCCAGAAAGAUUUUAAGGUAGAUUUAAAUAAAUAUUUAUGCAACAAAGGAAUGAAUACAUCUAUACGCACACAGAAUUACUAAAGUCUAUAAUCAAUAUAUGAAGUAUAACUACACAGUACAAAAUUUAACCAUCAUACCUAAAAGAAAAACAAACACGAUGCUGUGGGGAAUGCUUGAGAGGUAGUAACAAAGGCUUUAAAUCUUAAUGACCACCAAAGUAACCCACAUUCCUGAUAUGGUAUUUGCUCAACAUGAAUGUUUAGAUGAACAGGAGAUGAAAACUAUCUGAAGUGAGGGGAGGGGGUGUCACUGACUACACAGAAUAAAUAUGGAGCAUAUUGUGACCAAGAAGAUAUGGCCACAGAGGAAAAAGAGCAAAACAGGUCCAUCCUAAUUUGUUCAUUUACCGUUCACUUAUUCAUCCCACAAACUUGUAUGGAGAAGCCCCUAUGUCAAAUGCUAUGCUUGCACUGUGGAUGCAAAGGUAAAUAAAAACAUCCUAGUUUAGCUGUUUAGACCAGGGGUCAGCAAACUAUGGCCAAUGGGCCAUCUCCGGAUCACUGUUUGUUUUAUAAAUAAAGUUUUAUUGGAAU